UACGUAGGUGGCGAGCGUUGUCCGGAUUUACUGGGUGUAAAGGGAGCGUAGACGGUGGUGUAAGUCAGAUGUGAAAGCCCGGGGCUCAACUCCGGGACUGCAUUUGAAACUAUGUCACUGGAGUGCAGGAGAGGUAAGUGGAAUUCCUAGUGUAGCGGUGAAAUGCGUAGAUAUUAGGAGGAACACCAGUGGCGAAGGCGGCUUACUGGACUGUAACUGACGUUGAGGCUCGAAAGCGUGGGGAGCAAAC
RNAcentral lists this ribosomal RNA (250 nucleotides) under uncultured bacterium. RNAcentral describes it as "partial 16S ribosomal RNA". It matches the Rfam family "Bacterial small subunit ribosomal RNA", at positions 524 to 773 of the family's 1533-position model. The record is from RNAcentral.